This is a long non-coding RNA of Manis javanica (Malayan pangolin), 808 nucleotides long. RefSeq lists it as uncharacterized. NCBI's taxonomy places the organism in Eukaryota, Metazoa, Chordata, Mammalia, Pholidota, Manidae. The record is from RefSeq and is a predicted model, not a curated record.
UCCUUACAGUGAAGGUUUAUGUGUCUAGACUCAGUGCAGGCGAUCCCCGUUUCGGCAACAUCCAGAGCAUCACAGUCUGGGGCCAGUUGGAUGCGCACCUCCCUUGAUGGGGCACACGUCUCCUUUGAUGGAACAUGCGCCUCCUCUCUCUCUCAGGGUGCCAGCCUCCGCCACGUGAGGUCACGGGGCACCUUCCAGCCUGGGUGACCUACGGCUGGCAGCCUCGGCCCCAAACAGAGCACGUGAGCCCUGUCUCCGUCACGGCCAACCCUGCGGCUGGGAAGGCAUGAUGAGGACACAGCGCUCAAGCUCGCUGCUCCUGGGGCUCCCUUCCAAGGAUCUCUGGGCAGCUGGAGCCCAGAUGCCCCAAGGAGCAAACGUUCAGGGGUGGAGAUGCAGGCCUCUGCAACAGAGCAGCGGGAAAACAGUUUGGGGGAGCUGCACGUCCCAUCAGGAAGAGCGAGUCACAUGGCCCCGGUGGCCCUGGGUUGAUCCUGGAGCCACCGCUCAUCAGCGCCCCAGCCUCAGGUAAAUCACAGCCGUGGUCUCUCCAUCUGGCGAGCGAACGGGCUGCAGCGGCUUGGACCAGAGUGAAACAACAGCAUGAGCCCGGAGGCCCCUCUAGCUCUAGAACCAUACAUGUUCUAGUUGAAUCCAGUAACAAAUACACAUAAAUCUUCCGCCCUGGUCUGUACACAGUAGGCAUGCAGUGAAUGGAGGCCCUCAGGGCAGAAGCGCAGAAUCGCCCAGUGGCAGAGCAGCUGGGCGCUGAGUCAGAUGCUCACACACUCACUCACUCACCUGUAUU